CUGGUGCCUGUGGCACUUUCUCAAAAUACCAAACGUGCCCAUUGUCCCUGAAAGGUUGACAACCCCUGAUGUGGUUCAAUCUGUAUUUGUAUGCUGGAAGGCAAAAAGCCAGAACACCUUAUAGUGCAACAUGCUGAGUGUCAUACCAGCGACCUGUGGCACUGAUACAUGGUGCGCUAAUGGAGGCUCCGGUGACAGGGUUCAACAAGUGACCUAUUUCAUUCCACUUCUGCGACCCUGGAGGACAGCCCUGCAAGCCAUAAUUUGCUCACUCUACCACAGGAACUCUCCAUUCUACUAAGGAAAUAAGAGGCAGACUCACUAUUUCUAUUGCACAUCCAAGAAUGGCAUGAGAUUGCUGAAAUAGAUUUCUUUAUUUCUGAAACAUUCCAGAUCAGCAGAAUACAAGUUGUAAUCAAGUAUUAAAAUCAUAUCCCCAUAGUAAGAAAGCAUUGAUUAGUGCAAUUUUUUUUCUUGCAAAAGGUCUAUCAAAAAGGUUUUACUUCCAUGAAAACUUGUUUGUUUUCACCAAACACAAGUGUUAAUAAAACAUUGCAAUUUUAUUCUUUAUUACAAAGUAUCGAAACCCAACCAUUUAGGAGACCAUCGCAUCUUUCAAGUGCAAUGCAAUUUAUGCCCUCUUUAUAAAUACAACACCCCCGUGAUAAUAAAUUAACAUUGGAACAAGGAAAUGAGAGACAGGUUCGUGUUGACCAGGAAGUCAUGGCAGUUUCGAGCAAAUACUUUAGUGUGUGCUCUCACAACAUAAACAUACAACACAGCUGUCAUCUUGUCCAUCAUGGCCCCAAUGCAGCAAUAUAUGUACUCAAGAAUAGACCUGGCAUGUGAUGUAAGGGGGGGAAAUACUCUUUUUCAAGUCCCAAGAGUGGGGUAAGGUCUAAAUCCAGACACCUCGCCCCAUCUCUCUAACAUACACACAGGCCCAAGAACAGGUGAACUGAGUAUCACCAAGAAUCUGACUGGAACUGGAUGUGACUUCUUAAGCAGCUGAAAACCAUCCAUAUUCCCCCAUGCAGUUAGAAAUAUGUGUAUGGAUGUCUGCAUCUGUGCGUGGAUAGCUGUAGCUGGAUUUGGGGAGAUUGGCAUGGUUAGAAAUACAUCUUGAACAU
Non-coding RNA from Podarcis muralis (Common wall lizard), 1130 nucleotides. The record is from RefSeq and is a predicted model, not a curated record. Lineage: Eukaryota; Metazoa; Chordata; Lepidosauria; Squamata; Lacertidae.